Molecule: long non-coding RNA, 3316 nt
Organism: Quercus robur (English oak)
Lineage: Eukaryota; Viridiplantae; Streptophyta; Magnoliopsida; Fagales; Fagaceae
Exons: 3
Source: RefSeq, a predicted model, not a curated record
UUUCCAAAAGCAAAAACACAACCUAAAAAAAAAAAAUCCCUCCUAGUCAGUUCCAACUUUUAAGCACCGCAUUAUAGAGAACUUUUUUUUUUCACUGAUGUAUUAAAUGCUUGGCCGUGUACAGAGAUUGCGUAUUAAAGUGCUUUUACGAAACGGGUUUUGGGAUUUUUGUGUAUAUUUGGAAAAGCAUCUGAAAGGUGGGUUUUGAUUGGGCAAGUUGAAUAAGGUCCAAGAAUGGUGAUUCUGAGGGAUUUGCUUCUUGAGUUUUUCUGGGUUUUGGAUUUCCGGAGUGGGGUUUUCUGAUAUUUUGUAGUUUUGAUCAAGUAUCAAUUCAGUGCCUCUGAUAGUUUGGAGGAAAUUUUGGAUGAUCUAGAACUGAAUUUGGUGAUUUUCAGGGAUUUUGGGAUGUGGGUUUUUGAUAUUUUUUGGUCUUGAUCAACUAUUAUUUCAGGGCAUGUGAUAUUUUUUGGAGGUUUUUUUUUUGGAUGAUCAAGAACUGAAUUUGGUGAGUUUGAGGGGUUUUGAUUAUUGGGUUUUGCUGGGUUUUGGAUUUUCUGAAGUGGGUUUUUGAUAUUUUGUGGCCUUGAUCAUAAUUCAGUUGAGGGCAAGUGAAAUAUUGGGUUAUUGUAGUUCAAUUUAGGUUAGUGUUGAGGGUUUUCUAUUGGUGGUAGUGAAGAUGGGGAAGACAGCUUGAAGAGGGAGCGGCUUGUUUUUCUUCUUACAUAGACAAUGAUCAAAACAUCGAUAUUGAUGUUGCUUUCCCUUACAUUGUACUAUAUAAUAGAGCUCGUGAUAUUGUCAAGUGGUUAAGAGUAAGACUCCAGAUACACAAGCUACCAAAUUCUUUAGCUUCAUAUGCUAUAGCUGCAUCUCUCGUUCUCUGGGUAUUACGAGGAUUGUUAAAAGAGAAAGUCCAACUCCAAGGAAACAGCAAAGUCAUUGUGAUGAAAUUUCCCAGUUUCCUGCUUGGUAAGUUGACUUGUAAGCCCUUUUCCUCGACUCUUUGGGAAAAAAAAAACUAUAGUUAUUAUUUAAUAGAGCUCAUGAUAUUGCCAAGUGGAUAAGACUUCAGAUACACAAGCUACCAAAUUUUGGAGCUUCAUAUGUUAUAGCUGCAUCUCUCUUGCUCUGGGUACAACAUGGUACAUUCUCUUUGAAUCCCUUAGUUAAUUUUCAAUUAUUCUAUAUGCCUCCAUGCCUAUGAAGCAGGAUUUGAGUUUUAAGUUUUGUGUAUUUGUGUUUUUAAAGUAAAAUUUCAGACAUUUGGGAUGUGCGGCUUGUGCCUCGAUGCCUACUGCUAUUUUUUUAAUAAUUUAAUUAUCAAGAUUUGUGUUAUUAGAUCAUGAUAUUUUAAAAUUUAUGUUCUUGGAUCAUGCUAUGUUAAUAUUUGUGUUCUUAGGCCUACUGAUUUGCUGCUAUUUAAUUAAGUAUUGUUUGAGGUGGAUCUAGAUUCAUAUUUCAACUUCAAAACACACAGAUUCAUGUCUCAUCAAAUUAUCACCUUUGUUUAAUCUUUAAGGGAAGUAAUUAUCAUAAAGCAUUUCAGAAAACCUAAAAUUACACCCCCCCCCCCCCCCCCACCUCUCUGUUUUUUAAAAAAGUCCAUAGGCUGAUUGGAUCGUGAAAUAAUUGAAUUAAGUGUAGUUUAUAUGAUUAUACAAUGAGACCAAGCUCCCAGAUUUAUAAUGCUUCAAAAGACUAUGGAAUUCAAUUGACAAGCUGUCCAUGGAAAAUUCCUUAAGGUGGUAUAAAACAUUUGUUGAUUGAACAAAUGAAGCAUAAUGACCCUUUUUUUUUGAGAAGAUAGGCAUAAUGACCUAAUCGGUCCAAACUCUCAUCUAAUGUCCACAAUUGCUCAAAGAUGCAAAUCAUCAGUUAUGCGAAUGGUCAUAGAACUUGUUUUUUUCCCUUAUAGUGUAAUAUGCUUCAAAUUCUUGAAAUUUGUUUUUUACAUAGUGGUAGAGUACAACCAUUUUGAAAAUCUAAAUUGUGCAUGACCCUUGAUCUCUAAGCAAAGAUUGAUCAAUGGCCCCCAAGUAUAUUCGCUUAGAAACAGAUUAUAGCUUCUUCACAUCUUAUCUUACCAUGUUAUAUGUGUAUAUUGAUAUUCAAAUUUGUAAUCUAAAUGGUUUGGUGGACAAGAUGAAUUCAUGUUUGAAAAUGAAGAUGAAAGUUGAAGAGGAGAUGUCAUUUAUGAAGAAUGGAAGACUAUUAUUAGAGGAGCUAAUUGCCUUUUGCAAUGGGAAAAGCAAUCCUAUCCUUGUCUUAUCUGCAGAGGAGUUCAAACGAGCAACAAACAGCUAUGACAAGCAUCAAUGUAUUCUAUGGGAGUUUAAGUUAUACAAGGAUUCUCUGAAAGAACACUUACUUUCAGUUAAAAAAUACUACACAGAAAAAAAAGAAAAGAAAAAAAAAAGAUUUUCUGUUAUGGAAAACAUUACGCUUGGCAUUAUUAAAGACAUUGUGGUGGGAUCACAAAUGAGUGUCCACCAAAAUGUUCUACGACUCCUAGGAUGCUGCUUAGAGACCAAAUGCAUUGAUCCAACUGAGACAGUCUAUUUUGAGCCCUUAGCAUGGAAAUGCAGGUUAAGGAUCGCAAUGGGCAUAGCCGCAUAGCUAAUGCAGUUGCAAAUCUCCAUACUGCAUUUUCUAGGCCUAUUAUCCAUAGAGAUGUUAGGUCGGCUAUCACUAUAUUAGUUGAGAACAAAGUUGCCAAACUAAUUGAUUUCUCACGCUCAAUAUCUAUUCCUAAAGGUGAACAUGUAGAAGAUGUUGUACGUAGCAGACUGGUGUAUCUUGCACCCGAAUGUGCACUUACAGGCUAUAUAACUGAGAAGGUAGAUGUGUAUAUUUAUGGUGUACUUCUACUUGGGCUUUUAGCUGGAUGGAUGUUGAACACUAUAUAGUGCAGGUAUGGUAACUCCAAUCUACCAAUGUUGGUGAAGCCAUAUGCUGAACAAAAUCGGUUGAUUGAGAUCAUAGAUCCAAUGUUACAAACAGAAGGAAUCAAUCAGGAACAGUUUCUAGCUUUUGCAUAGAUUGCCAAAAGUUGCAUCUCUGAUAAAGCAGAAGAUAGUCCAACAAUCAUUGAUGCGACAAAACAACUCAUGCAAAUUUAUGAGUUUUUCUCACCUCCUUAGCUUAUCUUAGCUCUAUGCAUAGUGAUUAACAUUCAGAAUAUUAUUCUAUGAUCUGUAGCAUUUGAAAGCUCAAACUUGUCAUCAAGGGUGGAGUCACUGAUUAAAUUUCCAUGUCACAAUGAGUCUCUAACAUUCCAAUUGAGUUUUCUUUUCUAAUUUUAUCUUUAUAAAUUCAA